This is a non-coding RNA of Cherax quadricarinatus, 3408 nucleotides long. The record is from RefSeq and is a predicted model, not a curated record. Lineage: Eukaryota; Metazoa; Arthropoda; Malacostraca; Decapoda; Parastacidae.
AAUGUGACAUCAGCAAAGUGAGCUGUGUAGCUGUGAAAACAACCAAGUCUUGUAAUGUUUUUGAUUGUCUACUCUGGUGGAGUUUCAAUGACAUAUUUAAGAGUUAACUUGAUCAUUUCCCUGUCAUGAGCACCUCACUCAGUCUAGAGGACGAGAAAAUAUGUUUACACAGCUCGCAGUCAGAUUAUUUAAUUGUAUUUUAUUCGCCCAUUUAAGGAGGGUGCAGCCACAAUGUCAUCAUUUCAGACAUUUAUUAAAGAAGUAACUUGGCUUUUUCAUCAGCGAGAGGCCCAGCAAACACUUUUUUCUUGUGUCCAUUAACCUAAUGACCACCCUCCUCCUGCUUUCAUGGUGCCACACUACACGCAGUAUGGCACUUAUGGCUUAUACAUACCUCUCAUGGUUCAGUCUCUUGAGAGUUUCGAGAGUUUAUCUACUCUCUGAGACCGGCCAUGGGUCGGGCUUGUCUGGUGCUUGCCUGGUCAACCAGGCUGUUGCUGCUGGAGGCCCGCUGCCCCACAUAUCCAUCACGGCCUGGUUGAUCUGGCACCUGGUGAAGAUACUUGUCCCGUUUCGUCUUGAAGGCUUUUACACUGGUUCCAGCCAUGUUUCUGAUAUCUUCUGGUAAGAUGUUGAAUAGUCUAGGACUCCGGAUGUUGAUACAAUGUUCCCUAGAAACACUGAUAACCUAGAAAAACUGAUAUCCUAACCUAAAGGACUAAGAGUGAGUGAGCAUUGUUGAUAUAUCAGCUGUGUGUUUACAAGAAAUGCCCCUCUUUCAUGCUGUGACUGAGUGUAGGCAGCACAUCAAAUACGUAUACAGAGUUGCUAUUUCAGUUUUAGACAGUUUUGAAUUGUGAAUAAUUCACCAUUCACAUUAAAAUAUUGUAAAUGUACGUAUCUCAGUGACCCUGAACCCAGACUGUUGUUUACAUUGCCAGUCUCCCUUUCAUAAAAAAGAUAAGCACAACAAAGAUGACAAAAUCAUCUCAUCCCUGCAGUUAUGAAAGAUUUGAUGAAACCCCAACAAGCUCCCAUGGAAUCUUAAGGUUCUGCAGAAGCUAAUUUAAAAAUACAUGCCCUAGUGUAUGAAUGAAUUUUACAUCAUUAAGUCUCAGCUGUGCUUAUAUUGAGUGACAUUCACAUCUUUGUUCCUACCCCAUACUGUACAUGAAUGCAGUAAACUUCACAUCUUAUUUAAAUUCAAGUACAGUGGACCCCCGCAUAACGAUCACCUCCGAAUGCGACCAAUUAUGUAAGUGUAUUUAUGUAAGUGCGUUUGUACGUGUAUGUUUGGGGGUCUGAAAUGGACUAAUCUACUUCACAAUAUUCCUUAUGGGAACAAAUUCGGCCAGUACUGGCACCUGAACAUACUUCUGGAGUGAAAAAAUAUCGUUAACCGGGGGUCCACUGUACAUACUAUUCACAAACUUGUUUAAAUAAGCAUAUACUGUGUCACACAUUAGUCUGUGACCCACUAUUUAUUCUACUUGAACUAAAUUUUCUAGUAAGCUAACACCUUAUCUAGUUAGGAUCACUUGUUCAUAUGAGUAGUUUCUAAUCUGGAUAUAACCACUUGUUCAUCCGAACACGUGUAUGUAAUCAUUUGUUCAUCCAAAAUAGCUGUCUGAUACAAAGUGUGAAUCCCCAGAUAAUCUAGCCUUGUGAUUUUGGAAAUAAAUUUUAAAACUAAAAUACAAAAAGCCUCCUGCAAAUUGUUUUCAAAUAAAUACUGUAUAGUAAUAACACAAUUAUUAAAUGUUAGGCAGUCAUUAUUAGCCUGUCAAAAAUAAUUUACUCUAAUAGAUGCAUUUUUUUUAUUUAGGAUGUCUGCCAUUUCCCACUGAGGCAGGGUGACUCAAAAAGAAAGAAAAACCCAAAAGAAAGAAAAAAAAACUUAUUAUCAUUCAACACUUUCACCAUCACUCAUACAUAAUCAUUGUCUUUGCAGAGGCACUCAUAUACGACAGCUUAGACGUCCCUCUAAACUGCCAAUAUCCCAAACCCCUCCUUUAACCCUUAAACUGUCCAAACAUACAUCAAUGUUUGCACCGCUAGCACUCCAAGCAUAUAUCUACGUUUUUUAUACAUUUGAAAGCAUGUAAACUGAAACGUAGAUCUAUGUUCAGAGCACUAGCAGAGCAAACGUAGACCUACAUUUGGGCAGUUGAAGGGUUAAAGUGCAGGCAUUGUACUUUGCAUUUCCAGGACUCAAGUCUGGCUAACCAUAUAGCCUAUUAAAAAGAAAAAGAAAAGAUGCAUGUCUAUCAGAAAUUUUUUCUUAGUUAUAUUAUGUAUACAGUACAUAUGUACAGUGGAACUCCGGUUUUCAUAUGGUCCGCAUAUCAUGCAAUUGGGAGGAGGUGUGGGGUUAGAAAAAGUAUUAUUCAGAGGGCUGAAGAGGGAUUAUUGAGGUGGUUUGGUCAUUUAGAGAGGAUGGAGCAAAAUAGAAUGGUUUGGAGGGUGUAUAAAUCUGUAGUGGAGGGGAGGAAGAGAUGGAGGGAGGGGGUAAAAGAUGUUUUGUGUGUAAGGGGCCUGGACAUGCAGCAGGAAUGUGUGACCUUGUUAGAUAGGAGUCAAUGGAGACGAAUGGUUUUUGGGACCUGACGAGCUGUUGGAGUGUGAGCAGGGUAAUAUUUUGUGAAGGGAUUCAGGGAAACUGGUUAGCUGGACUUGAAACCUGGAAAUGGGAAAUAUACUCCGAAUUCUCCGCAUAAUAUUUACACCACACAUUGCCCUAAGACAGGACAUCCCCACCGCCUCCAACCACCUCCUCGCUGCAGCAUUUACAGCCCAAGCUUCACACCCAUAUAAGAGUGUUGGUACCACUAUACUUUCAUACAUUCCCUUCUUUGCCUCCAUAGAUAAUGUUUUUUGUCUCCACAUAUACCUCAGUGCACCACUCGCCUUUUUUCCUUCAUCAAUUCCAUGGUUAACCUCGUCCUUCAUACAUCCAUCUGCUGACACGUCAACUCCCAAAUAUCUGAAAACAUUCACUUCUUCCAUAUUCUCCUCUCCAAUUUGAUAUGCAAUUUUUCUUUAUCUAAAUCAUUUGAUACCCUCAUCACCUUACUCUUUUCUAUGUUCACUUUCAACUUUCUACCCUUACACACACUCCCAAACUUGUCCACUAACCUUGGCAACUUUUCUUUAGGAUCUCCCAUAAGCACAAUAUCAUCAGCAAAAGAUAACUCUGUCAAUUCCCAUUUUGUAUUUGAUUCCCCAUAAUUUAAUCCCACCCCUCUCUCCAACACCCUAGCAUUUACUUCUUUUACAACCCCAUUUAUAAAUAUAUUAAACAACCAUAGUGACAUUACACAUCCCUGUCUAAGACCUACUUUUACCAGGAAGUAGUCUCCCUCUCUUCUACACACCCUAACCUGAUCCUCACUAUCCUCAUAAAAACUC